RNAcentral lists this ribosomal RNA (508 nucleotides) under uncultured bacterium. RNAcentral describes it as "partial 16S ribosomal RNA". It matches the Rfam family "Bacterial small subunit ribosomal RNA", at positions 899 to 1397 of the family's 1533-position model. The record is from RNAcentral.
ACUCAAAGGAAUUGACGGGGGCCUGCACAAGCGGUGGAGUAUGUGGCUUAAUUCGAUGCAACGCGAAGAACCUUACCUGGCCUUGACAUGCACGUAGUAGAAGCCUGAAAGGGUAACGAACCCGCAAGGGAAGCGUGCACAGGUGCUGCAUGGCUGUCGUCAGCUCGUGUCGUGAGAUGUUGGGUUAAGUCCCGCAACGAGCGCAACCCUUGUGUCCUGUUGCCACCCAAACGAGAGUUUGGAGCACUCUGGACAGACUGCCUCGCUUAAACGAGGAGGAAGGUGGGGAUGACGUCAAGUCAGGAUGGCCCUUACGGCCAGGGCUGCACACGUACUACAAUGCCUGGUACAAAGGGACGCAAGACCGCAAGGUGGAGCAAAUCCCAAAAAACCAGGCUCAGUUCAGAUUGUCGGCUGCAACUCGCCGACAUGAAGCUGGAAUCGCUAGUAAUGGCGCAUCAGCUACGGCGCCGUGAAUACGUUCCCAGGCCUUGUACACACCGCCCGU